Long non-coding RNA from Cyprinus carpio (common carp), 345 nucleotides. RefSeq lists it as uncharacterized. NCBI's taxonomy places the organism in Eukaryota, Metazoa, Chordata, Actinopteri, Cypriniformes, Cyprinidae. The transcript has 3 exons. The record is from RefSeq and is a predicted model, not a curated record.
AAGCCCACCCCACCCACACGGCCGGACAGCCCCAUCUCUUUGACACACCAGAUGGCUUGACCACGUCUCCUCAAAAGCAGACAGAGCUCCCAUUCCCAGAGACCCCCACAACACUGUUAGACUCUAGUGCACUACGCGCCAGGGUCAGUUUAAACAAGAAGAGCACUCGCAGAGCCCCGCCCUCUCGAGCCAACCGUCACAGUGCCCUCUUAUCACAAGUACCCGAGGGAACUGGAGCAGAUGAUGAAUGGCGCUACAAGGACUCAACAGAGGAGAAGACAGGCUCUUCUAAGCAGGGUGAGGAGUCAGACUCUGAGGAGCAGGCCAAGGGAAUCUGAAUCCCGU